UACGGAGGAUGCGAGCGUUAUCCGGAUUUAUUGGGUUUAAAGGGUGCGUAGGCGGAUCGUUAAGUCAGUGGUCAAAUUGAGGGGCUCAACCCCUUCCCGCCAUUGAAACUGGCGAUCUUGAGUGGAAGAGAAGUAUGCGGAACGCGUGGUGUAGCGGUGAAAUGCAUAGAUAUCACGCAGAACCCCGAUUGCGAAGGCAGCAUGCCGGCUUCCGACUGACGCUGAAGCACGAAAGCGUGGGGAUCGAACAGG
This 252-nucleotide ribosomal RNA is filed under the name uncultured bacterium. RNAcentral describes it as "partial 16S ribosomal RNA". It matches the Rfam family "Bacterial small subunit ribosomal RNA", at positions 524 to 776 of the family's 1533-position model. The record is from RNAcentral.